UCUCCGUAGGUGAACCUGCGGAGGGAUCAUUACAGAGUUCAUGCCCUAACGGGUAGAUCUCCCACCCUAUGUUAUCAUCACUUUGUUGCUUUGGCGGGCCGUCAGGCCUCGGCUUGGCUACCGGCUCUCGCUGGCAAGCGCCCGCCAGAGAACCCCAAACCCUGAAUAUCAGUGUCGUCUGAGUACUAUAUAAUAGUUAAAACUUUCAACAACGGAUCUCUUGGUUCUG
This 229-nucleotide unclassified non-coding RNA is filed under the name plant metagenome. RNAcentral's name for it is "partial contains small subunit ribosomal RNA, internal transcribed spacer 1, and 5.8S ribosomal RNA". The record is from RNAcentral.